RNAcentral lists this ribosomal RNA (498 nucleotides) under uncultured Flavobacteriia bacterium. RNAcentral's name for it is "bacterial SSU rRNA". It matches the Rfam family "Bacterial small subunit ribosomal RNA", at positions 35 to 529 of the family's 1533-position model. The record is from RNAcentral. Lineage: Bacteria; Pseudomonadati; Bacteroidota; Flavobacteriia.
GCUAGCGGCAGGCCUAACACAUGCAAGUCGAGGGGUAACAGGAAAGCUUGCUUUCGCUGACGACCGGCGCACGGGUGCGUAACGCGUAUGCAACCUACCUCAUACUGGAGGAUAGCCCUUGGAAACGAGGAUUAAUACUCCAUAGUAUCACGAAUUCGCAUGUUUUUGUGAUUAAAGUUUUUCGGUAUGAGAUGGGCAUGCGUCCCAUUAGCUAGUUGGUGAGGUAACGGCUCACCAAGGCGACGAUGGGUAGGGGGCCUGAGAGGGUGGUCCCCCACACUGGUACUGAGACACGGACCAGACUCCUACGGGAGGCAGCAGUGAGGAAUAUUGGUCAAUGGAGGCAACUCUGAACCAGCCAUGCCGCGUGAAGGAUGACGGCCCUAUGGGUUGUAAACUUCUUUUAUAUGGGAAGAAACUUAUCUACGUGUAGAUAACUGACGGUACCAUACGAAUAAGGAUCGGCUAACUCCGUGCCAGCAGCCGCGGUAAUACGGA